Cucurbita moschata (crookneck pumpkin) is the source of this 646-nucleotide long non-coding RNA. RefSeq lists it as uncharacterized. Lineage: Eukaryota; Viridiplantae; Streptophyta; Magnoliopsida; Cucurbitales; Cucurbitaceae. The transcript has 3 exons. The record is from RefSeq and is a predicted model, not a curated record.
UAAAUUUAUAUUUUAACCCAAACUUAUAAUAUCCCGCCGGGAAAAAACCUCUGAAGGAUCCUUAAAUGCCGAAAGAGCCCCUGUAACUUUGCGAAAAAAACCCACCCAUACUGCGCGAACCAAACAUUAGUUCAGGGUUAUUAUCGUCAUGUUAAAGUUUCGAGACACAUCAUUCCCGCCAUCGAAUUUUUGCAGGUCAUACAGAUUCCGGGAAUGGCGGUAAGAGAAAUCCGGCGGGGCUAUCCGUCUGGGAUUUCCGAUGGGACGAGUGAAGAUGAUGAUGAAGAUCGAUAAGGACAUCGAUGUCGCCGCUGAGAAGAAACGGAAGAUCGUGAAGCUUGAACACAUCGGAAUCAUCGUCAAGAGGCAUCGGCUGAUGAGUGAUUUUCUCCUCGAUUCGCUUCCUCUUCCAUCUCAGCCGUAGGAUGCUCCGGCGAAGGAUGAGAAUCGCACUUGCACUGUCGUCGGUGAACCGCUUCCUGAAAGAACCCGUCGAAUCGAUGAUUUCUUUCGCCGGCCAGCAAAGACCACGUCAUAGGCGAUCAGUUUUCAUCCUAUAAAAGUCGUGUAGUGAACUCUAAGGAGAUAUGGGGCCAGAAAAUGUGGAUACCACUGAAGCUGUUUCAUCUCUGAUCUGAGAAACAAG